The submitters of this non-coding RNA (75 nucleotides) gave its source as unclassified sequences. The record is from Rfam.
GGCCCGGCUCUUGCUGAACUGAUUGCACCGGUAGCCAACGGCGGUUGCCCCACUUAAUCCCGACAAAGACGUCGC